This 301-nucleotide ribosomal RNA is filed under the name uncultured bacterium. Its description in RNAcentral is "partial 16S ribosomal RNA". It matches the Rfam family "Bacterial small subunit ribosomal RNA", at positions 509 to 807 of the family's 1533-position model. The record is from RNAcentral.
CAGUAGCCACGGUAAUGCGUAGGUGGCAAGCGUUGUCCGGAAUUAUUGGGCGUAAAGGGCUCGCAGGCGGUUUCUUAAGUCUGAUGUGAAAGCCCCCGGCUCAACCGGGGAGGGUCAUUGGAAACUGGGAAACUUGAGUGCAGAAGAGGAGAGUGGAAUUCCACGUGUAGCGGUGAAAUGCGUAGAGAUGUGGAGGAACACCAGUGGCGAAGGCGACUCUCUGGUCUGUAACUGACGCUGAGGAGCGAAAGCGUGGGGAGCGAACAGGAUUAGAUACCCGUGUAGUCCCUGUCUCUUAUAC